UCUCAGACCGGGAUAACAUAGGGAAACUUAUGCUAAUACCGGAUAGGUUUUCGGAUCGCAUGAUUCGAAAAGAAAAGGCGGCUUCGGCUGUCACUGGGAGAUGGGCCUGCGGCGCAUUAGCUAGUUGGUGGGGUAACGGCCUACCAAGGCGACGAUGCGUAGCCGACCUGAGAGGGUGACCGGCCACACUGGGACUGAGACACGGCCCAGACUCCUACGGGAGGCAGCAGUAGGGAAUUUUCCACAAUGGACGAAAGUCUGAUGGGAGCAACGCCGCCGUGAACGAUGAAGGUCUUCGGAUUGUAAAGUUCUGUUGUUAGGGACGAAUAAGUACCGUUCGAAUAGGGCGGUACCUUGACGGUACCUGACGAGAAAGCCACGGCUAACUACGUGCCAGCAGCCGCGGUAAUACGUAGGUGGCAAGCGUUGUCCGGAUUUAUUGGGCGUAAAGCGCGCGCAGGCGGCUAUGUAAGUCUGGUGUUAAAGCCCGGGGCUCAACCCCGGUUCGCAUCGGAAACUGUGUAGCUUGAGUGCAGAAGAGGAAAGCGGUAUUCCACGUGUAGCGGUGAAAUGCGUAGAGAUGUGGAGGAACACCAGUGGCGAAGGCGGCUUUCUGGUCUGUAACUGACGCUGAAGCGCGAAAGCGUGGGGGAGCAAACAGGAUUAGAUACCCCUGGUAGUC
RNAcentral lists this ribosomal RNA (682 nucleotides) under Brevibacillus formosus. RNAcentral describes it as "bacterial SSU rRNA". It matches the Rfam family "Bacterial small subunit ribosomal RNA", at positions 131 to 795 of the family's 1533-position model. Lineage: Bacteria; Bacillati; Bacillota; Bacilli; Caryophanales; Paenibacillaceae. The record is from RNAcentral.